UACGUAGGGGCAAGCGUUAUCCGGAUUUACUGGGUGUAAAGGGAGCGUAGACGGCGAUGCAAGUCAGAUGUGAAAACCCAUGGCUCAACCAUGGGAUUGCAUUUGAAACUGUGUUGCUAGAGUGCAGGAGAGGUAAGCGGAAUUCCUGGUGUAGCGGUGAAAUGCGUAGAUAUCAGGAGGAACACCGGUGGCGAAGGCGGCUUACUAGACUGUAACUGACGUUGAGGCUCGAAGGCGUGGGUAGCAAACAGGAUUAGAUA
Molecule: ribosomal RNA, 260 nt
Filed under: uncultured prokaryote
Description: partial 16S ribosomal RNA
Rfam family: Bacterial small subunit ribosomal RNA
Source: RNAcentral